This 383-nucleotide long non-coding RNA is filed under the name Phoenix dactylifera (date palm). Its description in RNAcentral is "long non-coding RNA (PDAC_LNC020695)". Lineage: Eukaryota; Viridiplantae; Streptophyta; Magnoliopsida; Arecales; Arecaceae. The record is from RNAcentral.
UGCAUAGCAUUUAUCCAAUUUUCAUCUUUUUCGGCUUCCUCUAGUGAUUUAGGCUCUAUUUGUGAAACGAAUGCAAGAUAAUUACUAGUAUUUCUUAGAGAGGAUCUUGUUCUUACCCCUUGUGAGGGAUCACCAAGGAUUAGAUCCCUUGGAUGACCAUGUGCAUACCUCCAUUCCUUAGGAAGAUCUUGAUUUCUCGUUGGAGAUUGAUCUUCUUCUUCUAGCUGAAUUGUAUCUUCCUUGAUUUCAUCCUCAAGUUGUUUGUCUUGUAUGGAGAACUCCUUCAUUCUGUCUUCAAGUAUACCUGCAUCACUAUCUUCUUCUUUUCUAGAAGAAUCUCCAUUAGCUUCAUCAAAAACAACAUGAAUGGAUUCUUCAACAAC